CUUUGGGGCCAGGUCGUCGCUCCGAGUUCUUUGAUCCCAAGGUGCGGGUAAUGCCGCGCCCGAUGAGUUCGGAGAGGAAAGUCCGGACACCGCAGGGCAGGAUGCCGCGCGAGCUUUCGGGCAAGCGCGGGCGGCGCGCUUCAAGGCGCGUCGACGGACAGUGUCACAGAAAACAAACUGCUUCCGAGUUUGAGUGAAGGUGAUGGGGAAGGGUGAGAAGGGUGACCUUCCCACUUGCACCCUCGCUUUCACUUCUCACGCGUGAAGUGAGGGUGAAAAGGUGGGGUAAGAGCCCACCGCGCCGCCGGCGACGGCGGCGGCACGAAAAACCCCUUCCGGUGCAAGGCAAAAUAGGUGGCUGGGCGGCCCGUCCAAUAGCCACGGGUAUGCCGCAUCUGCCGCCGCCCCUCCGGGGGCGGUGGCGGGCGGAUCCGCCUCAGGGCGGAACCGAGAGAAAUGACGAUCCCCGCGCCGCUGAGGCGCGGAACAGAAUCCGGCUUACCGGCCCCAAAGCUGA
Molecule: RNase P RNA, 517 nt
Filed under: Verrucomicrobiota bacterium
Lineage: Bacteria; Pseudomonadati; Verrucomicrobiota
Description: Verrucomicrobia bacterium (groundwater metagenome) RNase P RNA component class A
Rfam family: Bacterial RNase P class A
About the family: Ribonuclease P (RNase P) is a ubiquitous endoribonuclease, found in archaea, bacteria and eukarya as well as chloroplasts and mitochondria. Its best characterised activity is the generation of mature 5'-ends of tRNAs by cleaving the 5'-leader elements of precursor-tRNAs.
Source: RNAcentral